GCAGUGGUGGCCGAGUGGUUAAGGCGAUGAACUAGAAAUCCAUUGGGGUCUCCAGGCACAGGUUCGAGUCCUGUCGACUGCG
Molecule: non-coding RNA, 82 nt
Organism: Ixodes scapularis (black-legged tick)
Lineage: Eukaryota; Metazoa; Arthropoda; Arachnida; Ixodida; Ixodidae
Source: Rfam